Syngnathus typhle (broad-nosed pipefish) is the source of this 331-nucleotide long non-coding RNA. RefSeq lists it as uncharacterized. The transcript is spliced from 3 exons. The record is from RefSeq and is a predicted model, not a curated record. NCBI's taxonomy places the organism in Eukaryota, Metazoa, Chordata, Actinopteri, Syngnathiformes, Syngnathidae.
AAACAGCUCCAGUGCACCAUUUUCAUGUUGACCGGUCCUCAAAGUCCUGCAGCCAGCCGCCCUCCAGAGGUCACUGAAAGAUGAAGUUGGGAGGAUGAUCAUUUCCUGGCACAGCUCGUGGAUGAGGUCACUGUAGGAAAAGGAAGCGGAAUGUACUUGCCUGACCUGUCAACUGGAUAUAGGAAAUGUGAAUCGUCAUCUCGGAGCAAGCCGGCACAGGAACACACACCCCGGGAUGGAUGAAUGGCGGGCCUAAAAGCAACACAGGGCUCCUAUUGAUGACAUCAUCAUUGGGCAUCUGGUCACUCCACCCUUUCCACCUUCAGAGAAC